Molecule: ribosomal RNA, 738 nt
Filed under: Curtobacterium sp. S7
Lineage: Bacteria; Bacillati; Actinomycetota; Actinomycetes; Micrococcales; Microbacteriaceae
Description: bacterial SSU rRNA
Rfam family: Bacterial small subunit ribosomal RNA
Source: RNAcentral
CAGUCGCACGAUGAUCAGGGAGCUUGCUCCUGGUGAUUAGAUGGCGAACGGGUGAGUAACACGCUGAGUAACCUGCCCCUGACUCUGGGAUAAGCGUUGGAAACGACGCUCUAAUACUGGAUAUGAUCACUGGCCGCAUGGUCUGGUGGUGGAAAGAUUUUUUGGUUGGGGAUGGACUCGCGGCCUAUCAGCUUGUUGGUGAGGUAAUGGCUCACCAAGGCGACGACGGGUAGCCGGCCUGAGAGGGUGACCGGCCACACUGGGACUGAGACACGGCCCAGACUCCUACGGGAGGCAGCAGUGGGGAAUAUUGCACAAUGGGCGAAAGCCUGAUGCAGCAACGCCGCGUGAGGGAUGACGGCCUUCGGGUUGUAAACCUCUUUUAGUAGGGAAGAAGCGAAAGUGACGGUACCUGCAGAAAAAGCACCGGCUAACUACGUGCCAGCAGCCGCGGUAAUACGUAGGGUGCAAGCGUUGUCCGGAAUUAUUGGGCGUAAAGAGCUCGUAGGCGGUUUGUCGCGUCUGCUGUGAAAUCCCGAGGCUCAACCUCGGGCUUGCAGUGGGUACGGGCAGACUAGAGUGCGGUAGGGGAGAUUGGAAUUCCUGGUGUAGCGGUGGAAUGCGCAGAUAUCAGGAGGAACACCGAUGGCGAAGGCAGAUCUCUGGGCCGUAACUGACGCUGAGGAGCGAAAGCGUGGGGAGCGAACAGGAUUAGAUACCCUGGUAGUCCACGCCGUA